GCGUUAAUUUCGGUAGCACCUACACUAAUAUUGGGAUGAUACACAGAAGGCCGGCGUGGCCACCGCACAAGGAUGAUACACAAAGGUGUGCAGCUUUCCAUACUUUU
Small nuclear RNA from Callithrix jacchus (white-tufted-ear marmoset), 107 nucleotides. The record is from Ensembl. NCBI's taxonomy places the organism in Eukaryota, Metazoa, Chordata, Mammalia, Primates, Cebidae.